GAUGAACGCUGCGGCGUUCCUAAUACAUGCAAGUCGAGCGAACAGACGAGGAGCUUGCUCCUCUGACGUUAGCGGCGGACGGGUGAGUAACACGUGGAUAACCUACCUAUAAGACUGGGAUAACUUCGGGAAACCGGAGCUAAUACCGGAUAAUAUAUUGAACCGCAUGGUUCAAUAGUGAAAGACGGUUUUGCUGUCACUUAUAGAUGGAUCCGCGCCGCAUUAGCUAGUUGGUAAGGUAACGGCUUACCAAGGCAACGAUGCGUAGCCGACCUGAGAGGGUGAUAGGCCACACUGGAACUGAGACACGGUCCAGACUCCUACGGGAGGCAGCAGUAGGGAAUCUUCCGCAAUGGGCGAAAGCUUGACGGAGCAACGCCGCGUGAGUGAUGAAGGUCUUCGGAUCGUAAAACUCUGUUAUUAGGGAAGAACAAAUGUGUAAGUAACUAUGCACGUCUUGACGGUACCUAAUCAGAAAGCCACGGCUAACUACGUG
Molecule: ribosomal RNA, 496 nt
Filed under: uncultured bacterium
Lineage: Bacteria
Description: partial 16S ribosomal RNA
Rfam family: Bacterial small subunit ribosomal RNA
Source: RNAcentral